Molecule: ribosomal RNA, 497 nt
Filed under: uncultured bacterium
Lineage: Bacteria
Description: partial 16S ribosomal RNA
Rfam family: Bacterial small subunit ribosomal RNA
Source: RNAcentral
GACGAACGCUGGCGGCGUGCCUAAUACAUGCAAGUUGAGCGCUGAAGGUUGGUACUUGUACCAACUGGAUGAGCAGCGAACGGGUGAGUAACGCGUGGGGAAUCUGCCUUUGAGCGGGGGACAACAUUUGGAAACGAAUGCUAAUACCGCAUAAAAACUUUAAACACAUGUUUUAAGUUUGAAAGAUGCAAUUACAUCACUCAAAGAUGAUCCCGCGUUGUAUUAGCUAGUUGGUGAGGUAAAGGCUCACCAAGGCGAUGAUACAUAGCCGACCUGAGAGGGUGAUCGGCCACAUUGGGACUGAGACACGGCCCAAACUCCUACGGGAGGCAGCAGUAGGGAAUCUUCGGCAAUGGACGAAAGUCUGACCGAGCAACGCCGCGUGAGUGAAGAAGGUUUUCGGAUCGUAAAACUCUGUUGGUAGAGAAGAACGUUGGUGAGAGUGGAAAGCUCAUCAAGUGACGGUAACUACCCAGAAGGGGACGGCUAACUACGUG